GUUCUGUAAGCCUGUGAAGGUGUGCUGUGAGGUAUGCUGGAGGUAUCAGAAGUGCGAAUGCUGACAUAAGUAACGAUAAAGCGGGUGAAAAGCCCGCUCGCCGGAAGACCAAGGGUUCCUGUCCAACGUUAAUCGGGGCAGGGUGAGUCGACCCCUAAGGCGAGGCCGAAAGGCGUAGUCGAUGGGAAACAGGUUAAUAUUCCUGUACUUGGUGUUACUGCGAAGGGGGGACGGAGAAGGCUAUGUUGGCCGGGCGACGGUUGUCCCGGUUUAAGCGUGUAGGCUGGUUUUCCAGGCAAAUCCGGAAAAUCAAGGCUGAGGCGUGAUGACGAGGCACUACGGUGCUGAAGCAACAAAUGCCCUGCUUCCAGGAAAAGCCUCUAAGCAUCAGGUAACAUCAAAUCGUACCCCAAACCGACACAGGUGGUCAGGUAGAGAAUACCAAGGCGCUUGAGAGAACUCGGGUGAAGGAACUAGGCAAAAUGGUGCCGUAACUUCGGGAGAAGG
RNAcentral lists this ribosomal RNA (507 nucleotides) under Escherichia coli. Its description in RNAcentral is "partial 23S ribosomal RNA". It matches the Rfam family "Bacterial large subunit ribosomal RNA", at positions 1238 to 1746 of the family's 2925-position model. The record is from RNAcentral. Lineage: Bacteria; Pseudomonadati; Pseudomonadota; Gammaproteobacteria; Enterobacterales; Enterobacteriaceae.